Molecule: ribosomal RNA, 468 nt
Filed under: uncultured bacterium
Lineage: Bacteria
Description: partial 16S ribosomal RNA
Rfam family: Bacterial small subunit ribosomal RNA
Source: RNAcentral
GACGAACGCUGGCGGCGUGCUUAACACAUGCAAGUCGAACGGAAAGGCCCUGCUCUUGUGGGGUGCUCGAGUGGCGAACGGGUGAGUAACACGUGAGUAACCUGCCCUUGACUUUGUGAUAACUUCAGGAAACUGGGGCUAAUACCGGAUAGGAGCUCCUGCUGCAUGGUGGGGGUUGGAAAGUUUCGGCGGUUGGGGAUGGACUCGAGGCUUAUCAGCUUGUUGGUGGGGUAGGGGCUUACCAAGGCUUUGACGGGUAGCCGGCAUGAGAGGGUGACCGGCGACAUUGGGACUGAGAUACGGCCCAGACUGCAACGGGAGGCAGCAGUGGGGAAUAUGGCACAGUGGGCGGAAGCCUGAUGCAGCAACGCCGCGUGCGGGAUGACGGCCUACGGGUGGUAAACCGCUUUCGCCUGUGACGAAGCGUGAGUGACGGUAAUGGGUAAAGAAGCACCGGCUAACUACGUG